GACGAACGCUGGCGGCGUGCUUAAUACAUGCAAGUCGAGCGGACCUCGCGGCGCGUUGUUGGUUUCCAGCAACAAGCUGCACAGGUUAGCGGCGAACGGGUGAGUAACGCGUGGGUAAUCUGCCCCCAAGACCGGGAUAACAGGGCGAAAGCGCUGCUAAUACCGGAUAAACUCCUUUUGUCACCUGGCAAGGGGAGCAAAGCAUUAGCGCUUGGGGAUGAGCCCGCGUUCCAUUAGCUAGUUGGUGGGGUAAGAGCCCACCAAGGCGACGAUGGAUAGCCGGCCUGAGAGGGUGACCGGCCACACUGGGACUGAGACACGGCCCAGACUCCUACGGGAGGCAGCAGUAGGGAAUUUUCGGCAAUGGGGGAAACCCUGACCGAGCAACGCCGCGUGAGGGAUGAAGGUUUUCGGAUCGUAAACCUCUGUCUUUGAGGACGAUAAUGACGGUACUCAAGGAGGAAGCCCCGGCUAACUACGUGCCAGCAGCCGCGGUAAUACGUACGGGGCGAGCGUUGUCCGGAAUUACUGGGCGUAAAGGGCGU
Molecule: ribosomal RNA, 545 nt
Filed under: uncultured bacterium
Lineage: Bacteria
Description: bacterial SSU rRNA
Rfam family: Bacterial small subunit ribosomal RNA
Source: RNAcentral